ACGGGGGGAGCAAGCGUUGUUCGGAUUUACUGGGCGUAAAGGGCGGGUAGGCGGCCACUGCAAGUCGGUUGUGAAAUCUCCGGGCUUAACUCGGAAAGGUCAAUCGAUACUGCAGGGCUAGAGUGCAGAAGGGGCAACUGGAAUUCUCGGUGUAGCGGUGAAAUGCGUAGAUAUCGAGAGGAACACCUGCGGCGAAGGCGGGUUGCUGGACACAUAUUGACGCUGAGGUGCGAAAGCGUGGGGAGCAAACAGGA
This 254-nucleotide ribosomal RNA is filed under the name uncultured prokaryote. Its description in RNAcentral is "partial 16S ribosomal RNA". It matches the Rfam family "Bacterial small subunit ribosomal RNA", at positions 525 to 777 of the family's 1533-position model. The record is from RNAcentral.